RNAcentral lists this transfer RNA (67 nucleotides) under Elseya sp. XZ-2018a. RNAcentral describes it as "tRNA-Phe". The record is from RNAcentral. Lineage: Eukaryota; Metazoa; Chordata; Testudines; Chelidae.
GUUAUUGUAGCUUAUACCAAAGCACGGCACUGAAGCUGCCAAGAUGGGCGUAAUCACCCCAAAAACA